This 490-nucleotide ribosomal RNA is filed under the name uncultured bacterium. RNAcentral describes it as "bacterial SSU rRNA". It matches the Rfam family "Bacterial small subunit ribosomal RNA", at positions 903 to 1397 of the family's 1533-position model. The record is from RNAcentral.
AAAGGAAUUGACGGGGACCCGCACAAGCAGCGGAGCAUGUGGUUUAAUUCGAAGCAACGCGAAGAACCUUACCUAGACUUGACAUCUCCUGAAUUACCCUUAAUCGGGGAAGCCCUUCGGGGCAGGAAGACAGGUGGUGCAUGGUUGUCGUCAGCUCGUGUCGUGAGAUGUUGGGUUAAGUCCCGCAACGAGCGCAACCCUUAUUGUUAGUUGCUACCAUUUAGUUGAGCACUCUAGCGAGACUGCCCGGGUGAACCGGGAGGAAGGUGGGGAUGACGUCAAAUCAUCAUGCCCCUUAUGUCUAGGGCUACACACGUGCUACAAUGGCGAGUACAACGAGACGCGAGACCGCGAGGUGGAGCAAAUCUCAAAAACUCGUCCCAGUUCGGAUUGCAGGCUGAAACUCGCCUGCAUGAAGCCGGAGUUGCUAGUAAUCGCGAAUCAGAAUGUCGCGGUGAAUACGUUCCCGGGUCUUGUACACACCGCCCGU